UGAAAGCACACGCAUUUCAUUCACAAAGGUUUUCUGGGACCGGCUGACCGGCUCUUUCUCAGCCUAAACAGAGUCACGCACAGGCUGGCCCCGAUGCUCCCACGCUGCUUCCAGAGUGGAGGCGAUGGCUUUGAAAGCUCUGCAGAGCUACAGCCUCCGUGGAUGGCAGCCAUGAGCAGGACUGGGAGUAAUUAGCAGUUGAAGAGCAUGUUCCUUUGCGAAGCGAGCUUUCCUGCCAGCUACGACCCUUGAGGAGCAUGAGGGAAGGAGCACAGGCUGUCCCACGCCUACUUGUUUUCUUUCCCUUCAGCAGGACAGUUUCAACUGACUUUGAUUACCCUGGCGCCAAAUAAAUGAAAACAUUUCAUAGACAUAUAAUCAUCCAUCACUGUGAAGAAAGGAAAAAUGUUUCAUGUUCAGUAUGUUUAUAAAUAUGCUUAAUGAAAAAAGGAUAGUGCUGUCUUUCCUUCACUACAUCGCUGCUGCUGUUGGCCAGAUAGGCUUGCUCUCGGAUCAGCCCUGGAGCCCACGCCACCCUGCGCUCAAACAUUUCAGCCCAACAGCAGGAUGGCGCUCAAAGUAAGUCAAGAGGAAGGAUCUGAUUCUCCAAGGCCACCUUCAAUCUCUAGUCCUUCUCCCAAGACAGGAAGGGGACGUGGAGCAGGAAAAGGAGUGCCACAAGAGGGGGGAAAUCCAUCCAUUCAAACCCUCCAAAGUACCCUGUUACCAGUAUCCUCAUCAGAGACUCUUUCUCACUUCAACAAGGGCCACAGAAUCAUCCCUGGCAGCAGUAAAGAGGAAAGGCCCUUUACACUGUGACCUGACAACAUCCGGGACAGGAAAUGUUGUGACUUCAUUUAUUCUAGCAGCUUGUUAAUCCUCCAAGCAGAAGCAAACGCAGGGGUCGGAAGUUUUGUGUACCACCCACUUUUGGUGUGGGAGCCACCCGGGGCGGGAACAAAUGUCAGCUCUUCCUGAAGGUGAAGAUUACAGCGGUGUGUUUAAAACCUCUGCAUUUCGAGCGGGCUCCUGUGGUACCUUGUACACGAGGUAGGACCUUCUCUGAUUCUCAGGAUGCAUCAGAUCCAGUCUUGGAGUAAAUGCAGAAAAAUGUUUAUCAGGAUUUACAGAUUCUCUGUGUGUGCUAUUUAGAAUCUGUCAAUGACUGGACUGGCAGGAGGACUUUCCAAUCUUGACUGGAAUAAUAGCACUACAGGUUCACAUACGCACUGAAAUUUAUAAUUUGCAAAGCAAUUCAGUGUGCAUUACCCCAUUGGAUUCUCACAACAACCUUGAGAAGAUGCAAAAAUGUGAUUAAGAACAUGACAUGACUAGUUUGCGAUGAAGUAUCUGUGGAAAGGGCAGGGACCCCGAACCAGCUGCUCUGCCCUUUCUCCUCUUCCCACUUCAUGACAUCACUUCUGAUUCAUCUUUAUUUAUUCUAGUUGUGGCAGAGUGGUUUCAAAAAUGGCCCCAAUUCUUCAACCACUCCUUGUAUACUCAUCCUGUAUAAUGUGAAUUUGUAGCUUUUCCCAUCAAGAGAUGCAGUCCAUUUCUCCACCCCUUGAAUAGGGGCUGGGCUUGUGACUUGCUUUGGCCAAUGGAAUGCAGUAGAAGUGACAACGUGCCAGGUCCAAGCUUAGACUUCAAGAGACUGUAUGCAUUUCUGCUCGUUCUCUCUGUCACCUUGUAAGAACCUGGCUGGGCUGGCAUCCUGGAGGAUGAGAGACCACAUGGGAGAGAGCCUGGCUGUCCCAGCUCAAGCUAUCCUAGACUAGCCAACACCUAACAUAUGAGAAAUCUCAGCCAAGGACAGCAGUUUCCCACCCAACCUGCAACUGACAGAAGAUGCCCGAGUGAGCCCAGCCGAGGCCAGAAGAAUUGCCCAGCUGACUCGUAGAUCCAAGAAUAGUAAUAAAUGCUCAUUGGUAAAUGUACUCAGGACUUCUGGAUGUUUUCAAUUCAGCAUGAUUAUGGCAAUAGAUAGCUGAUGUACUAGUCCACAAAAAAGGAUGGAUCCCUACCACUUUCUCAGUUCUAAAUGUACCAAAGCAAUGAGUGAGCUAUGCCCUUUGCACUCCAAAUUGUGCAGUCUGUCAGGAAAGAUAAGGUGUGG
Long non-coding RNA from Equus caballus (horse), 2116 nucleotides. The record is from Ensembl. NCBI's taxonomy places the organism in Eukaryota, Metazoa, Chordata, Mammalia, Perissodactyla, Equidae.